CCUACGGGAGGCAGCAGUGGGGAAUAUUGGACAAUGGGGGCAACCCUGAUCCAGCAAUGCCGCGUGUGUGAUGAAGGCCUUAGGGUUGUAAAGCACUUUCACUGGUGAAGAUGAUGACGGUAUCCAGAGAAGAAGCCCCGGCUAACUUCGUGCCAGCAGCCGCGGUAAUACGAAGGGGGCGAGCGUUGUUCGGAAUUACUGGGCGUAAAGGGAGCGCAGGCGGUUCAUUAAGUUAGGCGUGAAAGCCCCGGGCUCAACCUGGGAACUGCGCUUAAUACUGAUGAACUAGAAAACAGGAGAGGGUAGUGGAAUUUCCAGUGUAGAGGUGAAAUUCGAAGAUAUUGGAAAGAACACCGGUGGCGAAAGCGGCUACCUGGCCUGAUUUUGACGCUGAGGCUCGAAAGCGUGGGGAGCAAACAGGAUUAGAUACCCUGGUAGUCCACGCCGUAAACGAUGACAGCUAGAUGUCGGGGGGUUGCCCCUCGGUGUCGCCGCUAACGCAUUAAGCUGUCCGCCUGGGAAGUACGGUCGCAAGAUUAAAACUCAAAGGAAUUGACGGA
This 560-nucleotide ribosomal RNA is filed under the name uncultured bacterium. RNAcentral describes it as "bacterial SSU rRNA". It matches the Rfam family "Bacterial small subunit ribosomal RNA", at positions 338 to 917 of the family's 1533-position model. The record is from RNAcentral.